AUUUUAAUAAUCGGUGCCGGGAGGCUUGUAGGCAAUGAAACUGAUGCACUGGACUUGGCGAACAUUGUCGAAGCCAAUGAUCCUAGCGAAGCCAUCUGGGUGAGCUUUGAUAAGCUCAUCAAGCUCCUUCAACACCUGCGAUGAAUCUGUGCACCCAAACAUUGGCAGCUUCCACAUUGUCCAGUAACGUCCAUCGUAGUACCCUGGUAAGCUACCGUGCGCA
This 223-nucleotide long non-coding RNA is filed under the name Manihot esculenta (cassava). RNAcentral's name for it is "long non-coding RNA (MESC_LNC000048)". The record is from RNAcentral. Lineage: Eukaryota; Viridiplantae; Streptophyta; Magnoliopsida; Malpighiales; Euphorbiaceae.